This 515-nucleotide long non-coding RNA is filed under the name Canis lupus familiaris (dog). RNAcentral's name for it is "lncRNA (ENSCAFG00030011126.1)". The record is from RNAcentral. Lineage: Eukaryota; Metazoa; Chordata; Mammalia; Carnivora; Canidae.
AGCAAUGAUUGUGCCUUCAAUCCCUCCACUUUCACCUGUCAAAAAGCUUAAAAAGUUUGUAUGUGAUUGAAAAUGGUCUACAUCAAAUAAAAAAUAAAAAAUAAAAUAAGCAAGCACCCAUCUGCCUAAAGUUUCUAUGUGAACAUUGGCUCUCCUGCAUCUGCUGCUGACGUGGCAACCCCUGGCUAAUCCUAACCUCUCUGCCUUCCAGAUGGAAAUUCUGGCCCAACUCUGGUUGGCUUGAACUUGAUGCAAGGUCAGUUCAGAGGACAAAAGACAAUGUGCCACGAACGCCCUGUCCCCUGCCCCGCUGACACUGCGGCUCGUCUCUGUCUGGGUCUUGCCAGCCAAGUGUCACGGGAACACGUUGGGACAAUGACCAACACCGUAUGCUGGUAAGUGGAUCUAAAUAUAUUUUUGUUCAACAAGCAGUGAUCUGACCUGGCCAGGAAGGUAGGAAAGACAAAGAUUCCACUGUGUGGCCCCUGGGACGCAGGAGCGCACGUCCAGGGGAA